CCUCUGUCCCGCUGUCCGGAGGUAAAAUACAGCCAUCCAUCCCAAAAGCCAGCAAGCGUAGUUUUUAUGCGGAAAGGAAGUUUUCCAAUCACUGACCAUGUCAGAGAAUCCACACGAAAUUGGAACACCUCCCCAACCAGGAUCAUCCUUUUGGUCUCUGGGUGCUUUUCUGUUGUACCUCCAGUGAUGAUGAUCGAAUUG
Molecule: unclassified non-coding RNA, 201 nt
Filed under: Hevea brasiliensis (rubber tree)
Lineage: Eukaryota; Viridiplantae; Streptophyta; Magnoliopsida; Malpighiales; Euphorbiaceae
Source: RNAcentral